GACGAACGCUGGCGGCGUGCUUAACACAUGCAAGUCGAACGCUGAAGCUUGGUGCUUGCACUGGGUGGAUGAGUGGCGAACGGGUGAGUAAUACGUGAGUAACCUGCCCUUGACUCUGGGAUAAGCCUGGGAAACUGGGUCUAAUACUGGAUAUGACAUGCCACUGCAUGGUGGUGUGUGGAAAGGGUUUUACUGGUUUUGGAUGGGCUCACGGCCUAUCAGCUUGUAGGUGGGGUAAUGGCCUACCAAGGCGACGACGGGUAGCCGGCCUGAGAGGGUGACCGGCCACACUGGGACUGAGACACGGCCCAGACUCCUACGGGAGGCAGCAGUGGGGAAUAUUGCACAAUGGGCGGAAGCCUGAUGCAGCGACGCCGCGUGAGGGAUGACGGCCUUCGGGUUGUAAACCUCUUUCAGCACGGAAGAAGCGAGAGUGACGGUACGUGCAGAAGAAGCGCCGGCUAACUACGUG
RNAcentral lists this ribosomal RNA (472 nucleotides) under uncultured bacterium. Its description in RNAcentral is "partial 16S ribosomal RNA". It matches the Rfam family "Bacterial small subunit ribosomal RNA", at positions 28 to 507 of the family's 1533-position model. The record is from RNAcentral.